This 420-nucleotide ribosomal RNA is filed under the name uncultured bacterium. RNAcentral describes it as "partial 16S ribosomal RNA". It matches the Rfam family "Bacterial small subunit ribosomal RNA", at positions 364 to 776 of the family's 1533-position model. The record is from RNAcentral.
UUGGACAAUGGGGGAAACCCUGAUCCAGCCAUCCCGCGUGUAUUAUGAAGGCCUUCGGGUUGUAAAGUACUUUUGGCUGAGAAGAAAAUGUAUCCCCUAAUACGGGCUACUGAUGACGGUAUCUCCAGAAUAUGCACCUGCAAACUACGUCCCAGCAGCCGCGGUAAUACGUAGGGUGCAAGCGUUAAUCGGAAUUACUGGGCGUAAAGCGAGUGUAGGCGGUUCGGAAAGAAAGAUGUGAAAUCCCAGGGCUCAACCUUGGAACUGCAUUUUUAACUGCCGAGCUAGAGUAGGUCAGAGGGGGGUAGAAUUCCACGUGUAGCAGCGAAAUGCGUAGAUAUGUGGAGGAAUACCGAUGGCGAAGGCAGCCCCCUGGGAUAAUACUGACGCUCAGACACGAAAGCGUGGGGAGCAAACAGG